Molecule: ribosomal RNA, 465 nt
Filed under: Vreelandella stevensii
Lineage: Bacteria; Pseudomonadati; Pseudomonadota; Gammaproteobacteria; Oceanospirillales; Halomonadaceae
Description: partial 16S ribosomal RNA
Rfam family: Bacterial small subunit ribosomal RNA
Source: RNAcentral
CCUACGGAGGGCAGCAGUGUGGAAUAUUGGACAAUGGGGGCAACCCUGAUCCAGCCAUGCCGCGUGUGUGAAGAAGGCCCUCGGGUUGUAAAGCACUUUCAGUGAGGAAGAACGCCUGGUGGUUAAUACCCAUCAGGAAAGACAUCACUCACAGAAGAAGCACCGGCUAACUCCGUGCCAGCAGCCGCGGUAAUACGGAGGGUGCGAGCGUUAAUCGGAAUUACUGGGCGUAAAGCGCGCGUAGGUGGCUUGAUAAGCCGGUUGUGAAAGCCCCGGGCUCAACCUGGGAACGGCAUCCGGAACUGUCAAGCUAGAGUGCAGGAGAGGAAGGUAGAAUUCCCGGUGUAGCGGUGAAAUGCGUAGAGAUCGGGAGGGAUACCAGUGGCGAAGGCGGCCUUCUGGACUGACACUGACACUGAGGUGCGAAAGCGUGGGUAGCAAACAGGAUUAGAUACCCCAGUAGUC